GAUGGGCGGCUACCAUGCAAGUCGAGCGAACCUUCGGGUUAGCGGCGGACGGGUGAGUAACGCGUGGGAACGUACCCUCUUCUGCGGGAUAGCCACUGGAAACGGUGAGUAAUACCGCAUACGCCCUUCGGGGGAAAGAUUUAUCGGAGGAGGAUCGGCCCGCGUUGGAUUAGGUAGUUGGUGGGGUAAUGGCCUACCAAGCCUACGAUCCAUAGCUGGUUUUAGAGGAUGAUCAGCCACACUGGGACUGAGACACGGCCCAGACUCCUACGGGAGGCAGCAGUGGGGAAUCUUAGACAAUGGGCGCAAGCCUGAUCUAGCCAUGCCGCGUGAGUGACGAAGGCCUUAGGGUCGUAAAGCUCUUUCGCCAGAGAUGAUAAUGACAGUAUCUGGUAAAGAAACCCCGGCUAACUCCGUGCCAGCAGCCGCGGUAAUACGGAGGGGGUUAGCGUUGUUCGGAAUUACUGGGCGUAAAGCGCACGUAGGCGGAUUGGAAAGUUGGGGGUGAAAUCCCAGGGCUCAACCCUGGAACUGCCUCCAAAACUCCCAGUCUGGAGUUCGAGAGAGGUGAGUGGAAUUCCGAGUGUAGAGGUGAAAUUCGUAGAUAUUCGGAGGAACACCAGUGGCGAAGGCGGCUCACUGGCUCGAUACUGACGCUGA
Molecule: ribosomal RNA, 660 nt
Filed under: Roseovarius sp.
Lineage: Bacteria; Pseudomonadati; Pseudomonadota; Alphaproteobacteria; Rhodobacterales; Roseobacteraceae
Description: bacterial SSU rRNA
Rfam family: Bacterial small subunit ribosomal RNA
Source: RNAcentral